Molecule: ribosomal RNA, 894 nt
Filed under: Streptococcus agalactiae
Lineage: Bacteria; Bacillati; Bacillota; Bacilli; Lactobacillales; Streptococcaceae
Description: bacterial SSU rRNA
Rfam family: Bacterial small subunit ribosomal RNA
Source: RNAcentral
CAAGUAGAACGCUGAGGUUAGGUGUUUACACUACACUGAUGAGUUGCGAACGGGUGAGUAACGCGUAGGUAACCUGCCUCAUAGCGGGGGAUAACUAUUGGAAACGAUAGCUAAUACCGCAUAAGAGUAAUUAACACAUGUUAGUUAUUUAAAAGGAGCAAUUGCUUCACUGUGAGAUGGACCUGCGUUGUAUUAACUAGUUGGUGAGGUAAAGGCUCACCAAGGCGACGAUACAUAGCCGACCUGAGAGGGUGAUCGGCCACACUGGGACUGAAACACGGCCCAGACUCCUACGGGAGGCAGCAGUAGGGAAUCUUCCGCAAUGGACGGAAGUCUGACCGAACAACGCCGCGUGAGUGAAGAAGGUUUUCGGAUCGUAAAGCUCUGUUGUUAGAGAAGAACGUUGGUAGGAGUGGAAAAUCUACCAAGUGACGGUAACUAACCAGAAAGGGACGGCUAACUACGUGCCAGCAGCCGCGGUAAUACGUAGGUCCCGAGCGUUGUCCGGAUUUAUUGGGCGUAAAGCGAGCGCAGGCGGUUCUUUAAGUCUGAAGUUAAAGGCAGUGGCUUAACCAUUGUACGCUUUGGAAACUGGAGGACUUGAGUGCAGAAGGGGAGAGUGGAAUUCCAUGUGUAGCGGUGAAAUGCGUAGAUAUAUGGAGGAACACCGGUGGCGAAAGCGGCUCUCUGGUCUGUAACUGACGCUGAAGCUCGAAAGCGUGGGGAGCAAACAGGAUUAGAUACCCUGGUAGUCCACGCCGUAAACGAUGAGUGCUAGUGUUAGCCCUUUCCGGCGCUUAGUGCCGCAGCUAACGCAUUAAGCACUCCGCCUGGGGAGUACGACCGCAAGGUUGAAACUCAAAGGAUUGACGGGGGACCCGCACAAGCGGUGGA